RNAcentral lists this transfer-messenger RNA (368 nucleotides) under Longibacter salinarum. RNAcentral's name for it is "Standard tmRNA". It matches the Rfam family "transfer-messenger RNA". Rfam says of the family: Bacterial tmRNA, also known as 10Sa RNA or SsrA, is named for its dual tRNA and mRNA-like properties. The record is from Rfam by way of RNAcentral. Lineage: Bacteria; Pseudomonadati; Rhodothermota; Rhodothermia; Rhodothermales; Salisaetaceae.
GGGGAUGACACGGCUUCGACGGGUAGUAAACGUGCUGCGGACUGUCCUGCCGAGCUUCCUAAUAUGCUCGUAAAUCUCGUUAGGAACAUGUAACUGCGGACGAUUAUUCGUACGCGAUGGCGGCGUAAACGCCCCAUCUGUCUCUAGAGGGCUUCGGCCUAUGAGCCGCUAGAGACAUCGAUUAGUAGGUCUAGUCAUCUGUUGCUCCGGCUGAGCGAUUAGAUGGCAAAAUUUGAUCAGCCUUGGCAUCUGGCUGGCUUCGACACUGGGCUGGAGCCAGACGCGACAUGAAAAACAGUGACUAUGCAGGUAGAUGUUCGACAAGUGCGGCUACUCGGACCCGGGUUCGACUCCCGGCAUCUCCACCA